AGCCGCUUAGCUCAGGGGUAGAGCGCCUGUUUUACACGCAGGGCGUCGGGAGUUCAAAUCUCUCAGUGGCUACCA
This 75-nucleotide transfer RNA is filed under the name Flavobacteriaceae bacterium. Its description in RNAcentral is "tRNA-Val". It matches the Rfam family "tRNA". Rfam says of the family: Transfer RNA (tRNA) molecules are approximately 80 nucleotides in length. Their secondary structure includes four short double-helical elements and three loops (D, anti-codon, and T loops). Lineage: Bacteria; Pseudomonadati; Bacteroidota; Flavobacteriia; Flavobacteriales; Flavobacteriaceae. The record is from RNAcentral.